UACGAAGGGGGCGAGCGUUGUUCGGAUUUACUGGGCGUAAAGGGCGCGCAGGCGGCUCAUUUUGUCAGGCGUGAAAGCCCCGGGCUUAACCUGGGAAGUGCGUUUGAUACGGAUGGGCUAGAGUUCGGGAGAGGAGAGUGGAAUUCCCAGUGUAGAGGUGAAAUUCGUAGAUAUUGGGAAGAACACCGGUGGCGAAGGCGGCUCUCUGGACCGUAACUGACGCUGAGGCGCGAAAGCGUGGGGAGCAAACAGG
RNAcentral lists this ribosomal RNA (253 nucleotides) under uncultured bacterium. RNAcentral's name for it is "partial 16S ribosomal RNA". It matches the Rfam family "Bacterial small subunit ribosomal RNA", at positions 524 to 776 of the family's 1533-position model. The record is from RNAcentral.